This 258-nucleotide ribosomal RNA is filed under the name uncultured bacterium. RNAcentral's name for it is "partial 16S ribosomal RNA". It matches the Rfam family "Bacterial small subunit ribosomal RNA", at positions 524 to 779 of the family's 1533-position model. The record is from RNAcentral.
UACGAAGGGGGCUAGCGUUGUUCGGAUUUACUGGGCGUAAAGCGCACGUAGGCGGGUCGUUAAGUCGGGGAGUGAAAUCCUGGAGCUCAACUCCAGAACUGCCUUCGAUACUGAGAGUCUUGAGUCCGGGAGAGGUGAGUGGGAACUGCGAGUGUAGAGGUGAAAUUCGUAGAUAUUCGCAAGAACACCAGUGGCGAAGGCGGCUCACUGGCCCGGUACUGACGCUGAGGUGCGAAAGCGUGGGGAGCAAACAGGAUU